This 829-nucleotide small RNA is filed under the name uncultured Frankiaceae bacterium. RNAcentral's name for it is "bacterial SSU rRNA". The stretch from base 1 to 472 matches the Rfam family "Bacterial small subunit ribosomal RNA", at positions 1064 to 1533 of the family's 1533-position model. The record is from RNAcentral. Lineage: Bacteria; Bacillati; Actinomycetota; Actinomycetes; Frankiales; Frankiaceae.
GCCGUGAGGUGUUGCCUUAAGUGGCGCAACGAGCGCAACCCCUGUCCUUAGUUGCCAGCGGGUAAUGCCGGGAACUCUAGGGAGACUGCCGGUGCCAAACCGGAGGAAGGUGGGGAUGACGUCAAGUCAUCAUGCCCCUUAUGUCCAGGGCUGCACACAUGCUACAAUGCGCGAUACAGAGGGCUGCGAUCCCGCAAGGGGGAGCGAAUCCCAAAAAGUCGCGCUCAGUUCGGAUCGGGGUCUGCAACUCGACCCCGUGAAGUCGGAGUCGCUAGUAAUCGCAGAUCAGCAAUGCUGCGGUGAAUACGUUCCCGGGCCUUGUACACACCGCCCGUCACACCACGAAAGUGGGUAACACCCGAAGCCGGUGGCCUAACCCUUGUGGAAGGAGCCGUCGAAGGUGGGAUCCGCGAUUGGGGUGAAGUCGUAACAAGGUAGCCGUACCGGAAGGUGCGGCUGGAUCACCUCCUUUCUAAGGAGCCUUUGGCGAUCCGGUGGAUCUCGCCGAACGCGCGAGAUCCUGCAGUACCGGAGGCUUCAGGUCGGUGCACUGGCUAUUCUUUUGACACCCAUUCCCGACGGCGUCUAGUAGUCCCUCUCGAGGGGCGAACGGGCCGGCCGUGGAUGGGCUUCGUCAUGGGGACACACUGUUCAGCUUUGAGGGUGCGAGCCCUCGUUGGACCUUGAGAACUCGAUAGCGAGCGCGAGCAUCUACAGUCAAGUUACAAAGGGCUUACGGUGGAUGCCUUGGCGCCAGGAGCCGAUGGAGGACGCGUCAGGCUGCGAUAAGCCUUGGGGAGCUGCCGAGAGAGCUGAGAUCCGAGGAUGU